CUUAAAGGAACACUAUAGGGUCAGGAAUACAAACAUGUAUUCCUGAUCCUCUAAUGUUAAAAACAUUAUUUAGGAACCUGGCCCCCCUUUAAAGGUUUACUGACCUGAAUCAAUGCAUCUCUGUGAGGAAAGUUUAGCGUCUCCAUACAGUGUGCAGCACUGACCCAGGGAGCACGUUUAAUGGCCGUCUGAGUAACUGCCACUGUCC
Pelobates cultripes (western spadefoot toad) is the source of this 208-nucleotide non-coding RNA. The record is from the annotation of a GenBank genome assembly. Lineage: Eukaryota; Metazoa; Chordata; Amphibia; Anura; Pelobatidae.